This is a long non-coding RNA of Vicia villosa (hairy vetch), 450 nucleotides long. RefSeq lists it as uncharacterized. NCBI's taxonomy places the organism in Eukaryota, Viridiplantae, Streptophyta, Magnoliopsida, Fabales, Fabaceae. The record is from RefSeq and is a predicted model, not a curated record. The transcript is spliced from 2 exons.
AAGCGACAUUAAUUUUAAUAAUUUUUUAUAAAAAGUGCUUAUUUUUUAUAUACAUUAGAAGGGAUCAAAUCUUAUUCUAUCUAUCAAGCAUAAGAAGAGAAAAAAUAUGACUCCAAUUCUCAAGUUUAUAUUCGUCUUGUCUAUGUUUUUUUUCUUAUUUUUUGUUGCUGCGAAUGUUGGUUCCACUCCCGAAUGUAAAGAAGAUUCUGAUUGUGUGUGUGAAGUGCACAAGAUAUCACUGUGUAUUGAUGGUUUGUGCGCAGCAUGUCUUUUGCAUAGUUAAAGCGAUCAUAGAGACGCCUUGAAUGGAUGAAUAAGUAUUGUAUCAAUACAAGAUCUAUGUAAAUAUUAAAGAAUAAUAUAAUAUAACAUAAUAUACCUUGAAUGGAUAAACCACUAUGUAAUAUUAUAUUUUAAGACAAUACAAAAUUAAUAUUUAUACUUUUGAAA